UAGUUCAUUAGAAAAGUUGAUAGGUAUC
RNAcentral lists this non-coding RNA (28 nucleotides) under Mus musculus (house mouse). The record is from RNAcentral. Lineage: Eukaryota; Metazoa; Chordata; Mammalia; Rodentia; Muridae.